UUUAAAUGUAUACUUAUGUACUUUAUACAAUUUCGGUUUUUGUCAAAAUUUACCCCCCACUCCUAUACUCGUUUACUAAACGUCUUAUAUAUGGGCAUGAGAUGAUAUGUACAUAUGUAUCUGCAUGGAUAUGUCAGUGCAACCCAUGUAAGCUUCUUUGGUGUGGAGCAAUCAUUGAGAUAGUGUCAUCUUGUUUUUCUACCCGUAAAUAAUGGCUGACUGCUCGAGAUUGAGAGAAGCAGGGCAGGAAGCGUGCACGGUGCAGGGGCUGCUUUAAUUUGUAGUUAAGCUGCACAAAUAACUCAAUUAGUCUUUAUGGUGCCACUCCCAUUUGCAGCGACGCCAACGCCCACCCUAUCCAGUUUGGCUAUUAGGUUCAUGCUAGAGCAGCUUGUGGAGCUGGACGAGCGUGUAGGACGGGUGUUCGCUCUGGUUUUGGAGGGCUGCACUACGCUUGGCGCUAACUUCGUUACGCGUUGAACUAAACUUUGCAGCGCAGCGUGCUGAUGAAAGAGUCCAUAAAGGUGCGAAGCUCAAGGGCUGUGUCUUCGGGCUAGACUCCACAGUUCAUCUACUUGGCUGCUGCAGCUCACCUCAAGUCUUCCCCCUUACUUUGCCUUUGCGCUCUUCCUUACACUUACUCACCUGCGGACAGCAAGAAACAAACAAAAAGCAACUCUCGACGCUUGAGGGCUCCACACCAAAUGGCAAAUAAAUAAAUAAAUAAAAUAAAUAAAAGCAACAAGAACAA
Drosophila mojavensis is the source of this 751-nucleotide long non-coding RNA. RefSeq lists it as uncharacterized. The transcript has 2 exons. NCBI's taxonomy places the organism in Eukaryota, Metazoa, Arthropoda, Insecta, Diptera, Drosophilidae. The record is from RefSeq and is a predicted model, not a curated record.